AAUCAACGCUGGCGGCGUGCCUAACACAUGCAAGUCGAGCGCGAAAGGGGGGGUAACUCCCCGAGUAGAGCGGCGAACGGGUGAGUAACGCGUGGGUGAUCUACCUUCGAGUGGGGAAUAACCCGGGAAACUGGGGCUAAUACCGCAUGACAUCCCGAGUCACAUCGGGAUCAAAGCCGGGGACCGCAAGGCCUGGCGCUUGAAGAGGAGCCCGCGUCCGAUUAGCUAGUUGGCGGGGUAACGGCCCACCAAAGGCGACGAUCGGUAGCCGGCCUGAGAGGGCGGACGGCCACACUGGGACUGAGACACGGCCCAGACUCCUACGGGAGGCAGCAGUGGGGAAUAUUGCGCAAUGGGCGUAAGCCUGACGCAGCGACGCCGCGUGGGGA
RNAcentral lists this ribosomal RNA (389 nucleotides) under uncultured bacterium. RNAcentral describes it as "bacterial SSU rRNA". It matches the Rfam family "Bacterial small subunit ribosomal RNA", at positions 29 to 407 of the family's 1533-position model. The record is from RNAcentral.